UUGCCGAGUAACUGUCCAACUUC
This 23-nucleotide non-coding RNA is filed under the name Rattus norvegicus (Norway rat). The record is from RNAcentral. Lineage: Eukaryota; Metazoa; Chordata; Mammalia; Rodentia; Muridae.